This 196-nucleotide small nuclear RNA is filed under the name Ixodes scapularis (black-legged tick). Its description in RNAcentral is "U2 spliceosomal RNA". It matches the Rfam family "U2 spliceosomal RNA". From Rfam's summary of the family: U2 is a small nuclear RNA (snRNA) component of the spliceosome (involved in pre-mRNA splicing). Complementary binding between U2 snRNA (in an area lying towards the 5' end but 3' to hairpin I) and the branchpoint sequence (BPS) of the intron results the bulging out of an unpaired adenosine, on the BPS, which initiates a nucleophilic attack at the intronic 5' splice site, thus starting the first of two transesterification reactions that mediate splicing. The record is from RNAcentral. Lineage: Eukaryota; Metazoa; Arthropoda; Arachnida; Ixodida; Ixodidae.
AUCGCUUCUCGGCCUUUUGGCUAAGAUCAAAGUGUAGUGCGUACGAUCACAGUGCACUACCUUUGAGUCUUCAGCACGUUUGCGGCCUCCACGGAAGAAUUAUUGCUUUGUGGAAACAUCGUUGGCCUGAGCUUUACCUCAUCGGUGCCACGGGUUGGCCCAGCAUUGCACUGCCUCCGGGACCUGCAUCAGCCUC